Non-coding RNA from Aegilops tauschii subsp. strangulata, 1910 nucleotides. The record is from RefSeq and is a predicted model, not a curated record. NCBI's taxonomy places the organism in Eukaryota, Viridiplantae, Streptophyta, Magnoliopsida, Poales, Poaceae.
UCUCCGCCCUCCGCCUCGUCCUCUUCUCCGGCGCCGCCACCCCACCCCUUCUAUCCAGCGGUGUCGCCUCUCCUCCCCGGUACGUGAGCCGCCGCCUCGCCGGCGCCCCUCCUCCUCCUCCUAUCUUCCGCCGUCUCGCCGCUGCAGUCGUCCCCGUGAGCAAGCUAUCUAGGCUAAGGUUCAUCGGAAAGAAAGGAAAAAAAUCCCCAUUCCCUCAGCCGUCUCCUAUGCCUCGCUGCCCGCCUACUCUUCCUCUCUGCAUCAUCGUGUUUAUCCUCGACGCAGAAGGAUAGCGUGGACUGAAGAGACGCCCUGCCGCUGUGCUCCUUUUUGUGGGGACGGGGACGGGGACGGAGGGCCCGGGGGCGGCAAGUUUCGUCGGAUGGUGGCGGCCGUCGCCUCGGAGGGCGCAGGGGGAGGCGCGCUGCUCGCGUCGCUCACGGAGCUCUGCGAGGCGCUCUCGUUCUGCACGGAGGACAUCGGGGACUACUUCCCCGUCGAGUCCGCCGCGCGGGCGCUCGUGCAGCUGGCCGGCGCCGAGGUCGCCAGUCCCGACGAGAUGCUGCUCGCCGUGCGCGCCAUCACCUGCAGGUAUUUUCAGGAGUUGAGAGAAGCACCCUUCUCUCUUGUGUGAUGCAGCUUCGAGUUCUCUGUUUCACUGAGUAUUUUUGAAAGGACUAAUUGAUCUUCAAAUCCAAAUAUAUGUACAAUUCAGAUAUUUCACUGAGCUUCUAUUUUUGUGGAAAGCAAAUAUAUGUACUCCAAAAUCCAAAUUGAUCUUCAGAGUCAAUUACUAUGGCAUAUUUUUUUCCUCAUCUACAUACUUUUACAGAUUGGUUUUUUGCCUUUUUGUGGCAUCUUUCGUUUCAUCUGUUAAUAUAGCCACAAUCAGUGACUUAAACCUCUAAUAUCUUGAGUCAAGAUUCCUUCUUAAAGUGAAUUUUUUUGUUUAUUCUGCUGCUUCAAUGAUUGGCUAUCUAUAUAUUUGGGUCUGGCUUACAGGUGGCAUUUCUUUUCCCUUUUCUGUAGGAUAGAACUUUUCACUGUAAGCUGCUAACUUAGCAGUAAUCUACUAUUCAAUUUACAUGUUAUGACUACAGAUAACAAGGUUUGUAUUUUCUACUCAGGUGGUUGGAUAUUACUCCCUCCGUUCCAAAAUAGAUAACCCAACUUUAUACUAAAGUUAGUAUAAAGUUGAAUCAUCUAUUUUGAAACGGAGGGAGUAGUUAUGAAGGUUGUCCCUGGAUUUUUGCUCUAUCGGCGACUGCAUGAGCUUGGUCAAUAUGCAUUCUCUGGGAGCCAGCCAUAAAGAAGGAAUUCCUACUGUAUCCUGCGGCAUUCUUGGUCAGGUACUAAAUAUAACCAGAUGAACUGUUUUUGCAAACGACUGAGUGCUAAUUACACGAGUUCAAAGAUUAAGCUGAGUCCGAUCUAUUUUUCUGUCAAUAUAGUUUGAAGGUAAAUCGUUUUACAGUCAUCCAGUUAGAACUUGACCAGACAACAUGCAUGGUGGUUUGUAGUUUGUUGACAUGAAUGUCAAACAGUUUAUAUCUGCAUAAUUCUAGAAGUGCUCUCUUAUAAUAAUCCUCGGUACAAGUUGUAUCAGACUAGCAGUAUAAUGUUGGAUGAAUUGAUUUAAUUAAUUAGUGACUGUUUUUGCAUGAGAUGAUCAUUGACUUUAGUUAUGUUUGUGAAAUAUGCAUAAAGAAUUUUUUGUGUUGUGCCCAUGUCCCAUGCAUAUAUGAUUUCCUUUUGCUACGUAUGUAUUCAUGUAUAUACCACAUCCAUUUGGCUGAGUUGCUUGCCUUGCUUACUUCUACAAAUAAAGUCGUUUCAUAUUGGAAUUAUGAAAAAUGAUUUCUAUUUUCUUUGAAGACCAAGGAAUCAUAUUUUAUUUAUUUUCUGGAAAA